UAAACGCCUUCAUCUCUCUCUCUUGUCCCACCCGCAGAGCUCCUUCUGGGAUUCUCUAUUGGCUGAACUCAGCCACAAGCUGCCAAGGGAGACCCUCACAACUGGAUGCAGCCCACUGAAAGCUAUUCAGCUUUCUGGGGUGCAUAGCUGAAGGUAGCAGGGAGCAAAAAGAAUCUGAAGGGGCAAGUGAACAAUGUAGAAUGUAUCUGUGCUGAAGACGUAAGGAGAGAGUGGAGGUCAGAAGCUGGCACGGUCCCUGGUGCAUGUGUCAGCCGCUAAAGAAGUGGAGAGUAUGAACAUAAGCAAGAGGAAGUGAUGAGUAUCCCUUCCAGGAGAACUUUAAGAGGCAGUGAGUGAUUUGCUGGGCUCCCAAGCCCUCUGCUCUGAUGACAGCAAAGCCCCAAAUCAUGACGCCUCCAUCAGUCGGGACCCCUCAACAGAGCCAGCUUCACAGCUGGAGUGGAUGAAUCAGAACUUUCCCCAUGGGAGCAUUUAUAAAAAGGGGACACCCAGCGCAGAAGAUGUUUUUCAGGGAGAUCUCGGGGAGCCCAACAAGCCAAGAAGAGCAGAGCAAAGCAUUCCAAGGAAGGACUCUAAGUCUGCAACAGAGCACACAUGAGCACAAGGAAAGACCAUGUGAAUACACAGCAAGAACGUGGUGCUCUGCAAGUCAGAAACAGACCCUUCAUCAGACACCAAAUCAGCCAGCACAUUGGUCUAGGAUUUCUGGCCUCCAAAAC
This is a long non-coding RNA of Gorilla gorilla gorilla (western lowland gorilla), 740 nucleotides long. RefSeq lists it as uncharacterized. The record is from RefSeq and is a predicted model, not a curated record. NCBI's taxonomy places the organism in Eukaryota, Metazoa, Chordata, Mammalia, Primates, Hominidae. The transcript is spliced from 4 exons.